This 484-nucleotide ribosomal RNA is filed under the name uncultured bacterium. Its description in RNAcentral is "partial 16S ribosomal RNA". It matches the Rfam family "Bacterial small subunit ribosomal RNA", at positions 30 to 507 of the family's 1533-position model. The record is from RNAcentral.
AUUGAACGCUGGCGGCAGGCCUAACACAUGCAAGUCGAGCGGGUGAAGGGAGCUUGCUCCUGGAUUCAGCGGCGGACGGGGGAGGAAUGCCUAGGAAUCUGCCUGGGAGUGGGGGAUAACGUCCGGAAACGGGCGCUAAUACCGCAUACGUCCUGAGGGAGAAAGUGGGGGAUCUUCGGACCCCACGCUAUCAGAUGAGCCUAGGUCGGAUUAGCUAGUUGGUGGGGUAAAGGCCUACCAAGGCGACGAUCCGUAACUGGUCUGAGAGGAUGAUCAGUCACACUGGAACUGAGACACGGUCCAGACUCCUACGGGAGGCAGCAGUGGGGAAUAUUGGACAAUGGGCGAAAGCCUGAUCCAGCCAUGCCGCGUGUGUGAAGAAGGUCUUCGGAUUGUAAAGCACUUUAAGUUGGGAGGAAGGGCAGUAAGUUAAUACCUUGCUGUUUUGACGUUACCAACAGAAUAAGCACCGGCUAACUUCGUG